RNAcentral lists this ribosomal RNA (468 nucleotides) under Escherichia coli. RNAcentral's name for it is "bacterial SSU rRNA". It matches the Rfam family "Bacterial small subunit ribosomal RNA", at positions 30 to 486 of the family's 1533-position model. The record is from RNAcentral. Lineage: Bacteria; Pseudomonadati; Pseudomonadota; Gammaproteobacteria; Enterobacterales; Enterobacteriaceae.
AUUGAACGCUGGCGGCAGGCCUAACACAUGCAAGUCGAACGGUAACAGGAAGAAGCUUGCUUCUUUGCUGACGAGUGGCGGACGGGUGAGUAAUGCCUGGGAAACUGCCUGAUGGAGGGGGAUAACUACUGGAAACGGUAGCUAAUACCGCAUAACGUCGCAAGACCAAAGAGGGGGACCUUCGGGCCUCUUGCCAUCGGAUGUGCCCAGAUGGGAUUAGCUAGUAGGUGGGGUAACGGCUCACCUAGGCGACGAUCCCUAGCUGGUCUGAGAGGAUGACCAGCCACACUGGAACUGAGACACGGUCCAGACUCCUACGGGAGGCAGCAGUGGGGAAUAUUGCACAAUGGGCGCAAGCCUGAUGCAGCCAUGCCGCGUGUAUGAAGAAGGCCUUCGGGUUGUAAAGUACUUUCAGCGGGGAGGAAGGGAGUAAAGUUAAUACCUUUGCUCAUUGACGUACCCGCAGAA